Coturnix japonica (Japanese quail) is the source of this 1403-nucleotide long non-coding RNA. RefSeq lists it as uncharacterized. The record is from RefSeq and is a predicted model, not a curated record. NCBI's taxonomy places the organism in Eukaryota, Metazoa, Chordata, Aves, Galliformes, Phasianidae.
ACAGUCAUUCUUCCACACAUAAAGGGAAAACGGACUCACUAGGAGGACCUAGACUCUUUCAGCUUGAACUGUUAACCAAUGGUGGAAAUGCAAGAAUGCUGAAGUUGUGCCUUCAGAGCCAAUAGAGUGGAUUUGUGUGUCCCACAUGACUGUGUUUCCCCUGUCUUUCACAUGGGCAGUAUUUAGUUCAAUUCAGAACUGCAGAUAGUAUAGCAUGCAGAGCAGCAAUGGGAUGUCUGAGCACAAGUGGCUGACUUCCAGGCGACUUCAAGAAGCAUAUUUGCACAUUUCUCCUGAAUUAAACUGGAAUUCUGCACCCUUGACAUCCUCUUACUCUCCUGGUGUCUGCGGAAGGAAACAGCGACCUGCACAGCACAACAAAACUAUAAAUCAUCAGUGAUCUACAGACAAGCAAACGAAGUGAGCUGAGGGCAAUUUAACUACCGCCUUCUGUGUCAGUUCCCCAGAAGUCAAUGAGGCAUACUGUCGGGUCUCCAAGAAAGACAUUUGGGAAGCUGCCAACUCCAUGCACGAAGAAGGAAACUGAAUAAGAAGAGAAGGGUACUGGUACUGAAAUUUAAGGAUGCUGUCAAGUCAAUGGAGUUCUGUUGUAGUGGUUGCUUCAGUGAACAUUCAACGCUGUCGGCCUUCACACCGAAGAUAGAAACCUAACCAGCACAUGAGGUUUCUCCCCUACUCUGCCAUGCUUUACAAAAAAAAGGUCACAAUCAACAUUCAUUGCUGUCGGUGGGUUUAACUAUGUGGACAAGCUCACUGAACAAUGAAUGCAACUGUGGCCCCACAUUUUACAGGUGCAACUGGGAGGAACAUCAGCUCUGAAAGGAAUAGUGAGCAGCAGACAUUUCUUAUAGGCUACAUUUUUCUGGGUAAAAAAUAGUUGAGGAUAUUCAAUUUUCACUUGUUUGUUUUUAAGCAUAUUUAUGGAAUAUCACCCCUCACAGGGUUCAGCAUCACUUAUACCAAAAUAAUGCUUGUUCAGUAUGUAUGUGGAAACAAGUAGUAACAGAGAGAACUGUGUAUUUAUGUAUUCCUCAGAACUGAGCAUGAGGAAAGGGUAUGUAAAUCUUACCUAGAUAGUUUACAGAAGCCUUCUCUGUACUUGCUGAGACAAAAACAGAAACAAGAGCCAGAAUUCAGAGAUAUGGACAAAGUACAUCAAAGAAUUCAGUAGUUUUACAUAAAAAUGAUCUUGCACACCUCAAUAAAUGGUAUCAGACAGCAAGAAUUACUACGUUUGCCUUUUCUAGCAGUCAGAUAAUAGAUGUAUACCUGGUUAUUAUCAAACGGUAGUUAAAUUGUAAAAUUACUCUAAACUUUGGGUACUUGUGUCACACUCAGUAUUGCUAUCACUGAUGAAAAAAUAAAAGUGUAAUAAAAGCUCA